RNAcentral lists this ribosomal RNA (962 nucleotides) under Comatricha anomala. Its description in RNAcentral is "partial small subunit ribosomal RNA". The stretch from base 368 to 945 matches the Rfam family "Eukaryotic small subunit ribosomal RNA", at positions 1173 to 1646 of the family's 1831-position model. Lineage: Eukaryota; Evosea; Eumycetozoa; Stemonitida; Stemonitidae. The record is from RNAcentral.
GUUAAGCACGGGGUAAAUAGACCCAGUGUUCUGCAUGAUCAGUCCCUCCAAACAAAGAGUGAACAGGGGCAGACAAGACCAACCUGGUACGGUGGAACUCUUUGUCGUGAUGCACACUGGGCGGGCACACAUGCGGGGGGGCCACUUGCGAUGGGCCGCAGAGGGAACAAAGACAGUGCCGUGGCGAAGCUUGGGUCGAGCGAUCUUCCUGAAGCCGUAGUAACGUGCGCAAAAGGUGUCGGGGGUCUCACUGAGAUCCCUUAAGGUACGCACUACUCCCCCCCGUGAGGGGGCCUCCUACAUAAGCUCUCAACCAGCAAGGGUAUGGAGGGGCCAGAUCCCAGGAGGAAAUGCCUGGGGGGAGGCCGGUAUCAAGGUAAUUUGACUCAACACGGGAAAACUCACCGGGUCCAGAUACAGGUAUGAAGGACAGACGGAAAGAUCUUUCCCAAUCAUGUAAGUGGUGGUGCAUGGCCGUUCUUAGUUCGUGGAGUGAUUUGUUUGGUCUAUUCCGAUAACGAGCGAGACCUCAACGUUCUAACUAGGGGCACUCGGCCAGGCUUGGCGCUGUGCGCCGUUUCCGUCUUCUGUCCUGGGCAACUGGGGCGGGGGGUCAAACGGGGGCGGUAUGGGGGCGCCUUGCUACCCGGUGCCUACGAGCGCGAGCUUCUUUUUAGACGGAUCGGGGCCGAUAAGGUCCCUGAAAUGAGGCAAUAACAGGUCAGUGAUGCCCUUAGAUGUUCCGGGCCGCACGCGCGUUACAAUGGCAAGCAAAGCGAGCCUUCAACUAGUCAGUGCUCUUAUCGGGUGCUUGCUAUUGGGUAACCCACUGCCUAACGGCCUGUGGUAAUCUCUAAAGCUUGCCUCGACUGGGCUAGACUUUUGGAAUUAUUGGUCUUAAACGAGGAAUUUUUAGUAGUCGCGGGUCAUUAGCCCGCGGCGAAUUAUACUGCCUUCCCGAC